ACUCAAUAUUUUCUAGAAGUUCCAAUAGGAUUGAUACCAGCUUUUCUUUAUACAUCUGAUAAAAUUCAGCUGUAAAUCCCUCUGGUCCAGGGCUUUUACUGGUUGAAUCCUUAGAUUCCCUGGAUUCAGUUUCAACUUUCUCCUAAAUCUGGACGACCUUAUGUGCCAUGCAGAUUCUGUAUUCUAUGCCAUCAUUUCAGUGAUUUCAAUCAAGAACCCUUGCUGUCGAGCUCAUGUGGUCAUUUGGAGAAUCCUCAGCUGCAUUUUGCAUUAUUUCCAGAGUUCUUGGUUGUAAUCAGUGGAGAGACAGGCUGUGGAAGACUUACCCCAUUUCGAUCAACACCAGGUGAAAAGGGCUGAGUUCAGAGCACUUCUCGACAGAUGAACAUAUGGAGAUUGACAGGCAGGGAACAAAAACUCAUCCAUGUACCAAUAGUGGAGGACUCCACCUCCACAGGGACAAAAUCUCCCGUGCUCAGGACCCUUCCAAGUCUUGCCCUAUGUAUCUCUUUAUCUGUUUGUAUCCUUUGAAAUAAACCAGUAAACC
This is a long non-coding RNA of Pan troglodytes (chimpanzee), 547 nucleotides long. RefSeq lists it as uncharacterized. The record is from RefSeq and is a predicted model, not a curated record. The transcript has 4 exons. NCBI's taxonomy places the organism in Eukaryota, Metazoa, Chordata, Mammalia, Primates, Hominidae.